UCCUACGGGAGGCAGCAGUGAGGAAUAUUGGUCAAUGGGCGGGAGCCUGAACCAGCCAAGUCGCGUGAGGGAAGACGGUCCUAUGGAUUGUAAACCUCUUUAGGCGGGGAGCAAUGCCGGGCACGCGUGCCCGGAGGGAGAGUACCCGCAGAAUAAGCAUCGGCUAACUCCGUGCCAGCAGCCGCGGUAAUACGGAGGAUGCGAGCGUUAUCCGGAUUUAUUGGGUGUAAAGGGCGUGUAGGCGGGAACGCAAGUC
This 256-nucleotide ribosomal RNA is filed under the name uncultured bacterium. Its description in RNAcentral is "partial 16S ribosomal RNA". It matches the Rfam family "Bacterial small subunit ribosomal RNA", at positions 337 to 589 of the family's 1533-position model. The record is from RNAcentral.